CAGGAUUUAAAUGAUACUAAACAUCGUAAAAUAUCGAUACAGGUGCGGAAUAUCCAACCCGACAUAGCCCUAACCAGGGUGUCAUAAGUUACGAGCAUCUAUAGACCAUGAUACAAGUCUGCUAAGUCCAAUAUCUAGUAUGAAUGUUUGAAGGAAAUAGUAGACACGGGCUACGGACGCCAACAUCUACCUCGUAGACGCCAAGUGGAGGAAUCAACACUUAGGAGCGGAACCAGCGACGCUUGAAUCUGCACACAUGGUGCAGAGAGUAAUAUAAGUACUCUGACCCAGUGAGUAAUAAAUAUAAAUAAUGACUGAAAGUAAGAAAACGCGUAUACACAAGGUAUUCUAUAAUGAAGCAGUUAAAUAAGAAAUUGGUAAGCAGUAAACCAAUGAAAAGUAGAAUAAAAUACUUCUACAACAAUUAGACAAGUAAUUGGCAGAGAUUUAAGAUAAAGUAAACACAUAGAAGUUCGCCCCUCGGGCUCAAUCUCACAUCACAAUGGGUACCCGCGCUUACUGGGGGUGUGUAGACUCAGGGAGGGGCCUCUUACAAUAUCAAGUCAUCUCAUGGCAUCAAAUCUAGGCUAUCGGCCUCAUGUCAAUCAAGCCACCUCGUGGCGUAUAUAUGUAUCUCAGGCCCUCGGCCUCAUAUCAGUAUCAAUGUUCCUCAUAAUAUAGGCCCUCGGCCUUACUUAGUCCAAAAAUCAUCACAAGCCCCUCGGCAAUAGUAAAACAGUGUUUUCAGCCAAAACAUCAUUUAAAAUAUCAUUUAAGUCUUGAAAACUGAGAAAGAAUGGCUGAAUAGUAAAAUAGUGGAAAAAUAUCGUGACUGAGUUCAAGUAACAAGUCAAAACAGUGAGGAAAAUAUCAAUAAAUAGCCCCGAAGGGUUCAAAUAGUUGGCACUAGGCCCAGCCCUAAUAAUGAUAACAUCACAUAGUUUACAAUCAAAUACGCGGUAAAAUCAUCAAUCGAGACGGACCAAGUCACAAUCUCCAAUAGUGCACGACCUCACGCUCGUCAUCGGGCGUGUGUCUCACCUCAUAUAGCACUACAAUGUGCAACCUGGGAUUUCAAACCCUCAGAGCAUCAUUUACAAUCAUUACUUACCUCGAACCGGCUAAAACUCUACCUCACGACGCUUUUGCCCCUCGAAUUGGCCUCCACGUGCGUCGAAUCUAUCCAAAAUCAGAACGAAUACUUCAUAAUAUGCUAAGGAAACAAAGUCCAAGCGAAAACAAUCGAAAAAUACCAAAAAUUCCGAAAUUAGCAAAAACUCGAGCCCCAGGCCCACUUCUCGAAACUCAAAAUUUUUUACAUCAACGAGUUCCUUAUCUCCCUACGAGUUCAUACACAUUAAAAGUUCUCAAAUCUGACCCCAAAUGGUCCUCCAAAUCCUCAAUUAGAAUUUCAAAAUUCCAAAGCCUAUUUCUUCCAUUUUUAGCAAUAAUUCAAUGAUUUUCUAGGUGGAUUUCAUAAUAUAAACGAGUUUUAGGUCCGAAAUUCUUACCUCCAAUCGUUUCCCCUCUUAGAGCACUCUUGAAGAUUCUAGCAAUUUCUUGGUAGUUCAACUAUAGUAGUGGUUGUGCCUUCCACCAAAUGCAUAUUUGUUUCCCUUUCUCGUUCCGCAAUGAGUUUUGGAGCAGUUGGCCAAAUCUUUUUGAAGCUAUUUAGAUGAAUGAACAACAAACCACUUAAUUCCUUGACCUUUAAUGAGGAAUCAAACAAAUAAGAUCCUUGGGGAAAC
Molecule: long non-coding RNA, 1748 nt
Filed under: Nicotiana tabacum (common tobacco)
Lineage: Eukaryota; Viridiplantae; Streptophyta; Magnoliopsida; Solanales; Solanaceae
Description: long non-coding RNA (NTAB_LNC005283)
Source: RNAcentral